CACAGUUCUUUUGGGCACUCAAACGAGAGGAAGAGGAAGUGAAUAAAGCUCAUGCUAAAUAUAUAGCACCCACCGAAGGCAGGGAUGUAGACCGAGAGAACGGUGAAAGGAAGGAAAGCAUGCUUCACCAGGAUCCAGAUGUGUGCUAACAUACCUAAACCUACAGAAGCAAGGAAGAUAUCCGAAGCAAGGAAGACAUCGUAAGCAAGGGCAUUCCUCAAAUUCGAGAGGGCGGAUGCUUCUAGGGCCAGAAAGACUCCCUGGCCCUCAGUUACAGAGCGACUGGGAGGGUACAAAAUGGAGUUGAGGUUUAGGGGCACCCUAAAGGUCGUUUGGAGGUCUAGCAAGCAGUUGGUGGUCUCUUCCGGAAAGGGCCGUGGCAAAGCCUAGUACCCCGAUCAGGAAGAUGACUUCUGGCCCUCAGGGUGCGGUGAGCGGCAGUAAGAGGCAGGCUGGGGUCCCGAGGACCCCAGACUCCAUCACAGGAGCAGAUACAGUGACCUCGAGAAUCUUCCCGGCCCCCGUGAGGCGGGAGGAUAGACCGCCCUGGCUCAAGAAAAAAAACGAGCCGAUUCCGGGAACUGGAAUGCCCACCCAACCUACUCCCGGCUCAGGUGAGGUACGCCAGCCCCCCCGGAGAUGGGGCCCUGGUACCGACAGGACAGGGGUUCCGGGGCCGCAGCCUCCCCAGCCAGGGAUACUCACCGGAGGAGCUGCCCACCGCGUCUUCGCAGCCGGCACUCGGGAAGCUAGCAAAAAGGAGCCGCGUGCCCGCUAGCGCUGGGACUAGUAGGAGCCCGCCGCGGAGGCCGGAGAAAAAGCCGCAGCGCCGCGCGCGCACCCAGACAGCCAACGGAGGCGGGGCGCGGCGCGAGCCCGGAAAAGACGCGCCCGGAGGGGCGGGCGGAGCGGGGGCGCGCGGUGGUGUGGCAGAGCCAGCCGAAUCGCGGGCGGUUGACGGCUCGGCCCACCCACGCGCCCGCCCCCGCUCGCCGGGGACGUCAGCCGAAAAGGCGGAGCCGAGCGGGCUUCCUGGGGCGCGGGAGGGGGUCUGCGGGGAACGCGAGGCGGCUAACGGCUCGCCGCAAGUUGUUUCUCUGGCUGACGAGUCGUUUCUGUCAGGCUCGCUGCUGGUGUGGUUGUUUCGGAAGGUCCUUGCGCCUAAUUGUAGUGAGGAGCAGGACUGGCCCACGCCCUUACCUGCGGCUUGCUUCGCAGAACUCCACCCCUCGAGUGGAUAAAAGUUCCCCUCGAGUCAUCUUCCAGUUGCUCUCAAAAGAUACUCAUGUUUGGAUUUCACUGCUCCUCAUUUAGAGAGCUAUCUUAACGCUGACUAAAAGCAUCUUGCACCUGUAAGCCUGAGCUAAUGCCUCUCAUCCAUUUAUCUUGCCUGUCACUGUGUUAAGAUCCCCACUCUCUCCCACUAAUGAAAUAUCACAGGGACGCAGAAUUUUCACGUUUUCUUCCAUUUCCACGAUGGUUUCAUGGCGAAAGAGCCCCCAACUGAUAAGGAAAAGUCACCGCAGCUUUGUGACAUCUUACUGGCCCUGAUCAUUGCUUAUAAGCCAGUCAUACGAAUGUUGUUACAACAGAUGCAAGAAACUGCCAUUAAACAUUAAAUUCCAGCGAACUAUCUGAGGACUUCAAAAGGGACAGACCAUAAUUGCAAAUGAGCCCUGAUAAACUGCCAAGAAUAUAUCACCCAAAAAAAUAAAUCUCAAUAAUUCUUCCAGUUCCCUGAUGCGUAAUGGCGAGCUAGCUUCCUGGUCCUGAUGGUAAUUGACAUUUCACUUCGCUUGCUGAUUUCCAUUUUCCCACAGAAUUACCAGUUGUGCGUGUAUGUAUGUGUGUGUGUGUAUAUAUAUAUAUAUACAUAUACACACACACACACAGAAAAUGCCUUACCACCUGAGAUUACAGACUAGAGUAGUUCUUAAACUUCAAUGUGCAUCACAAUUUUCUGGAGUGCUUGUUAAAAUGUGGGUUCCUGGAACUACAACUCCCAAAUAUUUUGAUGCUGAUCUGGGUAGGGAUAAGAAAUUUGAAUUUUUAAUAAGCAGCCCAGGUGACACUACGAGUGGUUAGCUGAGACCACAGAGCUACAGUUUUUGUGUGUUACUACUCUAAAGCCGUAUUACCAAUUCAAUUUCCAACAGACCCACCCACUUACAUUAUAAUAUACCUAUAAAUAUUGCUAAGACAGUCAUGUAGCUUCCUUUUUCAAGAUUGACCUAGAAAGUUCAGUACUUCAAACAACGAGUUUGUCAUGUUUAUUUUAUGAAAUCUUGUUUUAUACCAGCAAUAAGCAAUCAUUUGUCAGGUAUAUAAUUCACUGGGUAACUAUGAUGUGUAGAGCACUGUCACCUACAGUUGGGUUAACACAAAUGAAAUCGAAGAAAUGACUAUCCCUGCUCUCAACAAAGUUAGUGUCUAGUUGUGGAAUUAAAAUAUAAACAUAAUACAAACCCAGUGUAGCACAUAAAUUGAUGUGUUGGAUGAAGAAGAAAAAGAACUUGUAAUUAAAGGGUACUUUUGCCAGUUUCCUUUAUUAUCAGUCUCUUAGCCCAGACAUUUUCAAUUAGGUAAUUUCCUCUGAACAGAGUCUUCAGCUUACUGAAAUUUCUCCACCUCUACAAGAUAUAAA
RNA transcript from Sapajus apella (tufted capuchin), 2644 nucleotides. It is a transcript of the gene named translation initiation factor IF-2-like, with no coding region annotated. The record is from RefSeq and is a predicted model, not a curated record. NCBI's taxonomy places the organism in Eukaryota, Metazoa, Chordata, Mammalia, Primates, Cebidae. The transcript has a single exon.